AGAAAAAGAUUCAUCCAUGGAGGGCAUGAAUGAUGACCAUAUGCAUGGCAUGGUGAUGCACAACACAUCAGAUGGCGGCAUGAACAUGACGAAGCACCAUAAGAUGAUGAUGCAUAUGACCUUCUUUUGGGGCAGCGACGCCGAGAUUCUCUUCUCCGGUUGGCCGGGAACCAGAACCAGCAUGUACGUCUUGGCCCUCAUAGUUGUCUUCCUGCUUGCUUUCAUGGUGGAGGGGAUUUCUCACUCUCGGUUGGUGAAACCCGGUUCCACCCACCACGUGACCGCCGGUCUGGUUCAGACUUUGUUGCAUGCUCUGAGGGUUGGACUCGCGUAUCUGGUGAUGUUGGCUAUCAUGUCUUUCAACGGUGGCGUUUUCUUGGCCGCCGUGGCUGGCCAUUCUCUGGGGUUUUUAUUAUU
RNAcentral lists this long non-coding RNA (417 nucleotides) under Gossypium raimondii (Peruvian cotton). RNAcentral describes it as "long non-coding RNA (GRAI_LNC002312)". The record is from RNAcentral. Lineage: Eukaryota; Viridiplantae; Streptophyta; Magnoliopsida; Malvales; Malvaceae.